AUUGAACGCUAGCGGGAUGCUUUACACAUGCAAGUCGAACGGAGGGGCGGACGGGUGAGUAAUAUAUCGGAACGUGCCCAGUAGCGGGGGAUAACUACUCGAAAGAGUGGCUAAUACCGCAUACUAAUGGAGCGGCCGAUAUCGGAUUAGUUAGGUGGGGGGGUAAAGGCUCACCAAGGAAACGAUCCGUAGCUGGUGUGAGAGGACGACCAGCCACACUGGAGCUUGGACACGGCCCAGACGCCUACGGGAGGCAGCAGUGGGGAACUUUGGACAGUGGGGGAAACCCUGAUACAGCCAUCCCGCGUGUAUGAUGAAGGCCUUCGGGUUGUAAAGUACUUUUGGCAGAGAAGCGGUAUCUGCAGAAUAAGCACCGGCUAACUACGUGCCAGCAGCCGCGGUAAUAC
This 407-nucleotide ribosomal RNA is filed under the name uncultured bacterium. Its description in RNAcentral is "partial 16S ribosomal RNA". It matches the Rfam family "Bacterial small subunit ribosomal RNA", at positions 30 to 526 of the family's 1533-position model. The record is from RNAcentral.